This 253-nucleotide ribosomal RNA is filed under the name uncultured bacterium. RNAcentral describes it as "partial 16S ribosomal RNA". It matches the Rfam family "Bacterial small subunit ribosomal RNA", at positions 524 to 776 of the family's 1533-position model. The record is from RNAcentral.
UACGUAGGGCGCAAGCGUUGUCCGGAAUUAUUGGGCGUAAAGAGCUCGUAGGCGGUUUGUCGCGUCUGUCGUGAAAGCUUGGGGCUUAACCCCAAGUCUGCGGUGGAUACGGGCAGACUAGAGGCAGGUAGGGGAGAACGGAAUUCCCGGUGUAGCGGUGAAAUGCGCAGAUAUCGGGAGGAACACCGGUGGCGAAGGCGGUUCUCUGGGCCUGUACUGACGCUGAGACGCGAAAGCGUGGGGAGCGAACAGG